GACAGUUUGGCCGAGUGGUUAAGGCGCACGCCUGCGUACGUUUCUCUUCUUUAUAUCCCCUUCCCGCAACUCAACUAAUAUAUCCAUAGUAUUCCAAGUUAGCGUGUACUUUCGAGUGCGCAGGUUCGAAUCCUGCAGCUGUCG
This 144-nucleotide transfer RNA is filed under the name Aspergillus melleus. RNAcentral describes it as "tRNA-Arg". It matches the Rfam family "tRNA". Rfam says of the family: Transfer RNA (tRNA) molecules are approximately 80 nucleotides in length. Their secondary structure includes four short double-helical elements and three loops (D, anti-codon, and T loops). Lineage: Eukaryota; Fungi; Ascomycota; Eurotiomycetes; Eurotiales; Aspergillaceae. The record is from RNAcentral.